GAUGAACGCUGGCGGCGUGCUUAACACAUGCAAGUCGAACGGAAAGGCCCUGAGCUUGCUGGGCUCUCGAGUGGCGAACAGGGGUGUGAAACACGUGUAAACCGUCCUUAACUGUCUGAUAUAUCUAGGGAAAUCCGGCUAAUACCGGGGAGAAUCUAUUGAUCCGUGGGGGUCGAUAGUGAGAUUCGGUGGUGGGGGAUAGAAUCGCGGCUUAUGAGCUGGAUGGUCGGGUAGUGGCUUACCAAGGUUUCGACGGGUAGCCGGCGUGAGAGGGGGACCGGCCACAUUGGGACUGAGAUACGGCCCAGACUCCUACGGGAGGCAGCAGUGGGGAAUAUGGCACAAUGGGCGGAAGCCUGAUGCAGCAACGCCGCGUGCGGGAUGACGGCCUUCGGGGUGUAAACCGCUUUCGCCUGUGACGAAGCGUGAGUGACGGUAAUGGGUAAAGAAGCACCGGCUAACUACGUG
This 468-nucleotide ribosomal RNA is filed under the name uncultured bacterium. Its description in RNAcentral is "partial 16S ribosomal RNA". It matches the Rfam family "Bacterial small subunit ribosomal RNA", at positions 28 to 507 of the family's 1533-position model. The record is from RNAcentral.